RNAcentral lists this non-coding RNA (25 nucleotides) under Rattus norvegicus (Norway rat). Lineage: Eukaryota; Metazoa; Chordata; Mammalia; Rodentia; Muridae. The record is from RNAcentral.
UAGUGGUAAAAAAUGGCCACCAAAU